RNAcentral lists this ribosomal RNA (301 nucleotides) under uncultured bacterium. RNAcentral describes it as "partial 16S ribosomal RNA". It matches the Rfam family "Bacterial small subunit ribosomal RNA", at positions 509 to 807 of the family's 1533-position model. The record is from RNAcentral.
CAGUCGCCACGGGAAUACGUAGGGUGCAAGCGUUAAUCGGAAUUACUGGGCGUAAAGCGUGCGCAGGCGGUUUUGUAAGACAGAGGUGAAAUCCCCGGGCUCAACCUGGGAACUGCCUUUGUGACUGCAAGGCUAGAGUACGGCAGAGGGGGAUGGAAUUCCGCGUGUAGCAGUGAAAUGCGUAGAUAUGCGGAGGAACACCGAUGGCGAAGGCAAUCCCCUGGGCCUGUACUGACGCUCAUGCACGAAAGCGUGGGGAGCAAACAGGAUUAGAUACCCCCGUAGUCCCUGUCUCUUAUAC